Molecule: ribosomal RNA, 1102 nt
Filed under: Leptodactylus bolivianus (Bolivian white-lipped frog)
Lineage: Eukaryota; Metazoa; Chordata; Amphibia; Anura; Leptodactylidae
Description: partial 16S ribosomal RNA
Rfam family: Bacterial large subunit ribosomal RNA
Source: RNAcentral
CCUAGUGAUAGCUGGUUGCUUGAGAAAAGGAUUUAAGUCCAACCUAAAAUUACCUUAAUCCAAUUAAAUACCACAUAUAAUUUUAGAGCCAAUUCAAGCAAGGUACAGCCUGCUUGAAAUAGGAUACAACCUACACCUGAGGGUAACUUAUAUACAUUAAGCGAUAAAGUAGGCCUAAAAGCAGCCAUCUUUUAAAAAGCGUCACAGCUUCUUCGCUAGGAUAAUUUAAUACCAAUAAUUUUUAUGAGCCCCACUUUCGUAUCAAGCAAUUCUAUAUAGUUAUAGAAAUUUUUAUGUUAAAACUAGUAACAAGAAGAAAACCUUCUCCUAAUGCAAGCGUAAAUCAGGAAGGAUAUACCACUGAUAAUUAACAUCCCUGAACCUACAGUAGCAACCACACAAGAAAACUCUACCACAUUCUAUGUUAACCUAACACAAGAGCAUUACAGGAAAGAUUAAAAGAGAAAGAAGGAACUCGGCAAACUUUAACCCCGCCUGUUUACCAAAAACAUCGCCUCUUGACCAAUUAUAAGAGGUCCAGCCUGCCCAGUGACUCUGUUCAACGGCCGCGGUAUCCUAACCGUGCGAAGGUAGCGUAAUCACUUGUUCUUUAAAUGAGGACUAGUAUGAAUGGCACCACGAAGGUUAUACUGUCUCCUUUCUUUAAUCAGUGAAACUAAUCUCCCCGUGAAGAAGCGGGGAUAAAUAUAUAAGACGAGAAGACCCUAUGGAGCUUUAAACAAGUAACAACUGCCUUAUUAAUCUCUUAAUCUCAGGAAAUUUACCCCUUAUUCAGGCAUUUUGAUUACAAGUUUUAGGUUGGGGUGACCGCGGAGCAUAAAAUAACCUCCACAGUGAACGGGACUCAUUCCCUAAACCAAGGGCUACAACCCUAAGCAUCAAUAAAUUGACACCUAUUGACCCAAUAUUUUGAUCAAUGAACCAAGUUACCCUAGGGAUAACAGCGCAAUCCACUUCAAGAGCCCCUAUCGACAAGUGGGUUUACGACCUCGAUGUUGGAUCAGGGUAUCCCAGUGGUGCAGCCGCUACUAAAGGUUCGUUUGUUCAACGAUUAAAACCCUACGUGAUCUGAGUUCAGACC